Sorghum bicolor (sorghum) is the source of this 2259-nucleotide RNA transcript. It is a transcript of the gene named serine/threonine-protein kinase AFC1-like, with no coding region annotated. The transcript has 14 exons. The record is from RefSeq and is a predicted model, not a curated record. NCBI's taxonomy places the organism in Eukaryota, Viridiplantae, Streptophyta, Magnoliopsida, Poales, Poaceae.
GACCAAACCAGGGUUCCUCGGACGGAACGCGGGCACAACCAGACCAGCACCACCUCGAGCUUCCCCAUCCGGCCAUCCCCCCCACCCCCUUCCUGCUACAACCGCUUCGUUUCCUCCUCCAACAAAUCCCUCCCCCAAAUCGAGCUCCGAUUCGGCGGCUCCUGCCGCAUCGCUCAUCAGUUCCACCCCGAAAUUCGCCGCCGGGCUGGCCCCGCCGAUGGAGUGACGAGUCAGGGUUUCGAAGCCGGCAAUGGAGGCGCAGUGGCUCGCCGAGUAUCCGCACCAGGGGUCCGACAAGCGGCCGCGCAAGCGGCCCCGGCUCGCAUGGGAUGUCGCGCCCACGCUGUUCCAGCCCCCCAAGGCAAUUCCGAUGCUAUAUUGUGGGCAGGAAUUAAUUAAUGGUAAUUUCACGACUGCAUUUCUUCCGCCGCCACCGAUUUAUUACACUGGCCCUCCACGGAAUCUUUCGCCUCCUUGGAGACCAGAUGACAAGGAUGGGCACUAUGUUUUUGUGGUUGGAGAGAAUCUCACACCAAGAUAUAGGAUACUUAGCAAGAUGGGUGAAGGGACAUUUGGGCAAGUUUUGGAAUGCUGGGACUUGGAAAACCAAGAAGCAGUGGCUAUCAAGAUUGUGCGGUCCCUCCAGAAAUACCGAGAGGCUGCUAUGAUAGAAAUUGAUGUGCUCCAGAGACUUGGGAAGAAUGACUUUACUGGGAGCCGUUGUGUGCAAAUACGGAAUUGGUUUGACUAUCGUAAUCAUAUAUGUAUAGUAUUUGAGAAGCUUGGGCCGAGCCUAUAUGAUUUUCUGCGAAAGAAUAGCUACCGUGCAUUUCCUAUUGACCUUGUCCGAGAAUUUGCCAGACAAAUAUUAGAGUCUGUUGCAUUUAUGCAUGACUUGCGACUUAUUCACACGGAUCUGAAGCCAGAGAACAUUCUUCUUGUUUCAUCAGAGUCUAUCAGGGUGCCUGAUUAUAAGGUUUCUAUACGACCACCAAAGGAUGGUUCUUUCUUCAAGAACCUUCCAAAAUCUAGUGCUAUCAAGCUGAUUGAUUUUGGGAGUACGACUUUCGAGAGCCAAGACCACAAUUAUGUGGUGUCGACAAGACAUUACCGAGCACCAGAAGUUAUUCUUGGUCUUGGGUGGAACUAUCCAUGUGACUUGUGGAGUGUGGGUUGCAUUUUAGUUGAGCUCUGUUCGGGCGAAGCUCUCUUUCAGACACAUGAAAAUUUGGAGCAUUUGGCUAUGAUGGAGAGGGUCUUAGGGCCCCUCCCGAAGCAUAUGAUUGUCAGAGCUGAUCGACGUGCUGAAAAAUACUUCAAGCGCGGAGUAAGGUUGGACUGGCCAGAGGGGGCGGCUUCACGAGAGAGCAUGAAGGCAGUCUGGAAGUUGCCUCGUCUGCAGAACCUUGUAAUGCAACAUGUUGAUCAUUCUGCUGGAGAUCUUAUUGAUCUUCUUCAAGGACUUCUUCGGUAUGAUCCUAAUGAGCGCCUUAAAGCACGUGAAGCUCUACGACACCCUUUCUUUACCAGAUGCAUCAGAAGAUGUGGUUUCUGAGGCUACUGACAUUGAAAAUGUCAAUGCUGUAUUUCUUCGUUUUGAUGUGUAAGAACUACAAAAAAAGUGGAGAUGUUCUACGAAAAAUGAAAUAUGCUAACUUGCAAUUCUGUUCAAUGAUUUGAAAGUACUAGCAGGUAGCAUGCAGAAAUCUCUAACCAGGUGGUGUCAUUUGAGGAUAAAUGGGAUUAAGUGUUUUCAUAGAAGACUGGAACACUAUAUUUAAUGAUGGCAUACGGUGAUCUCUGGUCAACAGACAAACGUGAAGCGUUGCCUGUACAUGAUGCAAUGGUGACUAAGGCUGAUCAGUGGACCCCGAGUUCCAGGAAUUCCAGUUGGCACCGUUCGGCCACGUGAUUCUGGAACCCAUUCGUCGGGCUAUCUGUCGUUGCACGAGCCUGGUUCGAAAGCAACAUUGCAAAAGCAGCGCCAAGUUUCCAGCGCGGUUGCGUCAUAUGCUGUUAUGAAUGUGUUGCUGCAUCACCGAAGGUAUGACUGAAGCUGCUGACUUCGUGGGAAAUAAAGGCGUAUCCCGCUUUCAUCACGUUAUGACUGCACAUUCUCCUGGUAUGACGUGUGUUUGACUGAACUACGAAGACCUGCUUUGGUCACGUUAUGAUUGCAUAGGAUGGCGUGUCUGCAAUUCGUUUGGUCAACAAAUAGCUGCUCUCCGUUUGCUGCCGUAAAUAGUACGUACUUGCUAA